RNAcentral lists this microRNA precursor (173 nucleotides) under Glycine max (soybean). Its description in RNAcentral is "miR9738 stem-loop (gma-MIR9738)". Lineage: Eukaryota; Viridiplantae; Streptophyta; Magnoliopsida; Fabales; Fabaceae. The record is from miRBase by way of RNAcentral.
GCGAUGGAAGAGUUCAUGUCGUGUUUCAGAAUGAUUCAGACAUCUAAGAAGGUCAUUCAGAUGUUGUUGAAGACAUAUACAGUUAGAAAUGACCCUCUCAUUUUGUGCCAUAACCGUCUAUUUCUUCAAUGAUACUGGAAUCAUUCUGAAACAUGAUGUGGACUCUUCCAUGG